AAAAGGAAUCUGUUGCUUGGACUAUGAAAUAAGGAUGGAUCAUAUAGAUAAACACAAAUGCUUAGUUUAGAUAACGUAGAGAUUAGAGAAUAGAAAAUAAUAUUGGAAUUGGAGAUUGAGACGUCUCGUUAAGCAAUGAAACUCUUCUUUUGUUCUUUUUUUCUUUGUUUUUUUUGUUCAAAGCAAUAAAACUCUUUUUCUGUAAUUGUUUUAGUAUUUGACUUAAAAAUCAAUAUAUAUGUUUCAAAUAUUUGCUAUUCAAAACUAAAGGCGACAUUUACAAUAUAUAUAUAUAUAAAUAAUGUAUCUAAUGUUAGUCUCACUUUUUAACUAUG
Molecule: long non-coding RNA, 335 nt
Filed under: Capsella rubella
Lineage: Eukaryota; Viridiplantae; Streptophyta; Magnoliopsida; Brassicales; Brassicaceae
Description: long non-coding RNA (CRUB_LNC001480)
Source: RNAcentral